UGCCAGCCGCCGCGGUAAUACGUAGGGUGCAAGCGUUGUCCGGAUUUAUUGGGUUUAAAGGGUGCGCAGGCGGUUCUUUAAGUUCGUGGUGAAAGCGUCCAGCUCAACUGGAUACCCGCCAUGGAUACUGGAGAACUUGAGUGUGUUCGAGGGGGUUAGAACGCGUGGUGUAGCGGUGAAAUGCAUAGAUAUCACGCAGAAUACCGAUUGCGAAGGCAGACCUCUGGGACAUAACUGACGCUGAGGCACGAAAGCGUGGGGAGCGAACAGGAUUAGAUA
This 279-nucleotide ribosomal RNA is filed under the name uncultured bacterium. RNAcentral describes it as "partial 16S ribosomal RNA". It matches the Rfam family "Bacterial small subunit ribosomal RNA", at positions 506 to 784 of the family's 1533-position model. The record is from RNAcentral.